CUUUUUUAAAAUUCAAGAACUAAAGUGUUAUAUAAGACAAAACCUUGGGAUCAAAUUGUAAAUUUUCCUAAAAAAAUCACAUGCAUACGUUUAUGCACCUUGUGAAGCUACUAGAUUUGCCAUCUUGAUGCUGGUUUUCACAAUGUCUGUUUCCAAGCCGAACUGGGUCGAACUCAAAGUUGACAGUGUAUUACCUUCUACUUGACUCUGUUACACCCUUCAUUCCUUUAAUGGAAUUCUUGACAAGCAGCUUACCUAUAUGGCCUAUAGUGAAGCAAAAGAAAGUACAUUUUGUUUAACGGAGUUCUUGACAAGCAGCUUACCUAUAUGGCCUAUAGUGAAGCAAAAGAAAGUACAUUUUGUUUA
This 366-nucleotide unclassified non-coding RNA is filed under the name Hevea brasiliensis (rubber tree). Lineage: Eukaryota; Viridiplantae; Streptophyta; Magnoliopsida; Malpighiales; Euphorbiaceae. The record is from RNAcentral.